This 303-nucleotide ribosomal RNA is filed under the name Klebsiella sp. Its description in RNAcentral is "bacterial SSU rRNA". It matches the Rfam family "Bacterial small subunit ribosomal RNA", at positions 1102 to 1405 of the family's 1533-position model. The record is from RNAcentral. Lineage: Bacteria; Pseudomonadati; Pseudomonadota; Gammaproteobacteria; Enterobacterales; Enterobacteriaceae.
CCCUUAUCCUUUGUUGCCAGCGAUUCGGUCGGGAACUCAAAGGAGACUGCCAGUGAUAAACUGGAGGAAGGUGGGGAUGACGUCAAGUCAUCAUGGCCCUUACGAGUAGGGCUACACACGUGCUACAAUGGCAUAUACAAAGAGAAGCGACCUCGCGAGAGCAAGCGGACCUCAUAAAGUAUGUCGUAGUCCGGAUUGGAGUCUGCAACUCGACUCCAUGAAGUCGGAAUCGCUAGUAAUCGUGGAUCAGAAUGCCACGGUGAAUACGUUCCCGGGCCUUGUACACACCGCCCGUCACACCAU